UACGAAGGAUGCAAGCGUUAUCCGGAAUUAUUGGGUUUAAAGGGUGCGUAGGCGGACCUGUAAGUCAGUGGUGAAAGCCUGUUGCUCAACAACAGAACUGCCAUUGAUACUGCAAGUCUUGAGUACAGUUGAGGUAGGCGGAAUGUGUCAUGUAGCGGUGAAAUGCUUAGAUAUGACACAGAACACCGAUUGCGAAGGCAGCUUGCUAAGCUGUAACUGACGCUGAUGCACGAAAGCGUGGGGAGCAAACAGG
This 253-nucleotide ribosomal RNA is filed under the name uncultured bacterium. RNAcentral's name for it is "partial 16S ribosomal RNA". It matches the Rfam family "Bacterial small subunit ribosomal RNA", at positions 524 to 776 of the family's 1533-position model. The record is from RNAcentral.